UUGCAUUAUUAUCGCCGAGCUAAACGCAAUACUCCAUCUCCAAUUUCUCAUUGACUGUUUACAGAUUCAUCAAUGUUUCAACGUUCCAUAUUGAAUUGGUAGAGCCUUUAGGAUGGAGGCCUAUAUUUAGAGAGAGUAUUACGACGGAUGGCUGAGCGUAACUGGAGCCAUCCUUAGUGUAGUCGUCGUGUGUUUGAGAAAUUGGCCAACCACGCUCUUCACGUUUGGCUACAUGUUUUCUUAUUCGCAUUUUUUAUCAUCUAUUCCAAACCCGGAUAUCAUCGACGGGAGCUCAGACUUACAAAGCAGCGCUAAACAGCGUACGAAAACUGAUGCACAGUGAAGAAAGAGUGCAAAAAACUAUUGACCCUAAAUUCCACUGUUUGAGGUGCUUUAUUUUUGCCACAUUUUCUUCGACUGGUGAAUUCAACCAUAUUUUUGCAGUUUGGAACGUAAUAAAAAUAGAA
This is a long non-coding RNA of Daphnia magna, 467 nucleotides long. RefSeq lists it as uncharacterized. NCBI's taxonomy places the organism in Eukaryota, Metazoa, Arthropoda, Branchiopoda, Diplostraca, Daphniidae. The transcript is spliced from 3 exons. The record is from RefSeq and is a predicted model, not a curated record.